AAAUUGAAGAGUUUGAUCAUGGCUCAGAUUGAACGCUGGCGGCAGGCCUAACACAUGCAAGUCGAGCGGAAACGAGUUGUCUGAACCUUCGGGG
This 94-nucleotide ribosomal RNA is filed under the name Vibrio alginolyticus. RNAcentral's name for it is "partial 16S ribosomal RNA". It matches the Rfam family "Bacterial small subunit ribosomal RNA", at positions 1 to 98 of the family's 1533-position model. RNAcentral also lists the same sequence under 3 other names. The record is from RNAcentral. Lineage: Bacteria; Pseudomonadati; Pseudomonadota; Gammaproteobacteria; Vibrionales; Vibrionaceae.